UACGUAGGCAGCGAGCGUUGUUCGGAGUUACUGGGCGUAAAGAGUGCGUAGGCGGUGCGGUAAGUCUGGUGUGAAAUCUCCCGGCUCAACUGGGAGGGUGCGCUAGAAACUGCCGUGCUAGAGUGUGGGAGAGGUAAGCGGAAUUCCUGGUGUAGCGGUGAAAUGCGUAGAUAUCAGGAGGAACACCUGCGGUGUAGACAGCUUACUGGACCAUAACUGACGCUGAGGCACGAAAGCGUGGGUAGCAAACAGG
Molecule: ribosomal RNA, 253 nt
Filed under: uncultured bacterium
Lineage: Bacteria
Description: partial 16S ribosomal RNA
Rfam family: Bacterial small subunit ribosomal RNA
Source: RNAcentral